GGGAGCAGAUAAGCGCCUGGUGGGCUUCUCGGUUUUCAAAACCGAUGUGACCUGAACGGGUCAGGUGGGUUCGAUUCCCAUGUGCUCCCGCCA
This 93-nucleotide transfer RNA is filed under the name Planctomycetota bacterium. RNAcentral describes it as "Planctomycetes bacterium (activated sludge metagenome) tRNA-Sec". It matches the Rfam family "Selenocysteine transfer RNA". Lineage: Bacteria; Pseudomonadati; Planctomycetota. The record is from RNAcentral.